Molecule: transfer RNA, 76 nt
Filed under: Rickettsiales bacterium
Lineage: Bacteria; Pseudomonadati; Pseudomonadota; Alphaproteobacteria; Rickettsiales
Description: tRNA-Lys
Rfam family: tRNA
About the family: Transfer RNA (tRNA) molecules are approximately 80 nucleotides in length. Their secondary structure includes four short double-helical elements and three loops (D, anti-codon, and T loops).
Source: RNAcentral
GGGUGCGUAGCUCAGUUGGUAGAGCAACUGACUCUUAAUCAGUGGGUCAAGGGUUCGAAUCCCUUCGCGCCCACCA